Molecule: ribosomal RNA, 448 nt
Filed under: bacterium A5T_VP6_A7
Lineage: Bacteria
Description: bacterial SSU rRNA
Rfam family: Bacterial small subunit ribosomal RNA
Source: RNAcentral
UACUACGGGAGGCAGCAGUGGGGAAUAUUGGACAAUGGGCGAAAGCCUGAUCCAGCCAUGCCGCGUGUGUGAAGAAGGUCUUCGGAUUGUAAAGCACUUUAAGUUGGGAGGAAGGGCAGUAAGUUAAUACCUUGCUGUUUUGACGUUACCGACAGAAUAAGCACCGGCUAACUUCGUGCCAGCAGCCGCGGUAAUACGAAGGGUGCAAGCGUUAAUCGGAAUUACUGGGCGUAAAGCGCGCGUAGGUGGUUCGUUAAGUUGGAUGUGAAAGCCCCGGGCUCAACCUGGGAACUGCAUCCAAAACUGGCGAGCUAGAGUAUGGCAGAGGGUGGGGGAAUUUCCUGUGUACCGGUGAAAUGCCUAUAUAUAGGGAAGGAACACCAGUGGCGAAGGCGACCACCUGGGCUAAUACUGACACUGAGGUGCGAAAGCGGGGGGGACCAACAGG